Molecule: ribosomal RNA, 466 nt
Filed under: Shigella flexneri
Lineage: Bacteria; Pseudomonadati; Pseudomonadota; Gammaproteobacteria; Enterobacterales; Enterobacteriaceae
Description: bacterial SSU rRNA
Rfam family: Bacterial small subunit ribosomal RNA
Source: RNAcentral
AAAUUGAAGAGUUUGAUCAUGGCUCAGAUUGAACGCUGGCGGCAGGCCUAACACAUGCAAGUCGAACGGUAACAGGAAACAGCUUGCUGUUUCGCUGACGAGUGGCGGACGGGUGAGUAAUGUCUGGGAAACUGCCCGAUGGAGGGGGAUAACUACUGGAAACGGUAGCUAAUACCGCAUAACGUCGCAAGACCAAAGAGGGGGACCUUCGGGCCUCUUGCUAUCGGAUGUGCCCAGAUGGGAUUAGCUAGUAGGUGGGGUAACGGCUCACCUAGGCGACGAUCCCUAGCUGGUCUGAGAGGAUGACCAGCCACACUGGAACUGAGACACGGUCCAGACUCCUACGGGAGGCAGCAGUGGGGAAUAUUGCACAAUGGGCGCAAGCCUGAUGCAGCCAUGCCGCGUGUAUGAAGAAGGCCUUCGGGUUGUAAAGUACUUUCAGCGGGGAGGAAGGGAGUAAAGUUAA